RNAcentral lists this ribosomal RNA (602 nucleotides) under uncultured organism. RNAcentral describes it as "bacterial SSU rRNA". It matches the Rfam family "Bacterial small subunit ribosomal RNA", at positions 64 to 618 of the family's 1533-position model. The record is from RNAcentral.
GAGAACGCUUCAACUUGCUGAAGCAAGUAAAGUGGCGCACUGGGUGAGUAACGCGGUGGUGUAACCUACCUCCGAAUCGGGGAUAGGAUGUGCGAAAGCGAUGCUAAUACCGGAUAAAAUCCCCGUAGACUUCGGCCUCGUGGCAUCAAAGCGUGGUCUCUCCAUGAGAAGCUACUGUUUGGAUGACGGGCCCGUGUACCAUUAGCUUGUCGGUAGGGUAAUGGCCUACCAAGGCCGCGAUGGUUAGCUGGUCUGAGAGGAUGAUCAGCCACACUGGAACUGAGGGAUGCGUCCAUACUCCUACGGGAGGCAGUCAUGUGAGGAAUUUUGCGCAAGUGAGGGAAACCCCUGACGCAGCAAACGCCGCGUGAGUGAUGAAGGCCUUCGGGUCGUAAAAGCUCUGUCUAGUGGGAAGAACCUUUCCCGGACGAAUAAGACGGGAACAUUGAUGGUACCACUGAAGGAAGCACCGGCUAACUCGCGUGCCAGCAGCCGCUGGUAAUACGGGCGGGUGCAACGCGUUACUCGGAUUCACUGGCGCUGUAAAGAGCGCGUAUGCGGACCUCUUGUGUCAGGUGUGAAAGCCCGGGGGUUAACCUCGG